ACAUAUGUGUGUGUCAGUGGCACAAAAGUGAAAGCAAGUAGGUGAUGGGUGGGUGAGGUAGGGGAAGGUGUAUUGAGUGUUUCUUUAAGAAAAAUUAAACUAUAAAAGAUACAUGUAUUUCCUAGAUUCGUUAUCUCUGUAUUUUUCUACAUAGAUAAAA
Octopus sinensis (East Asian common octopus) is the source of this 160-nucleotide long non-coding RNA. RefSeq lists it as uncharacterized. The record is from RefSeq and is a predicted model, not a curated record. NCBI's taxonomy places the organism in Eukaryota, Metazoa, Mollusca, Cephalopoda, Octopoda, Octopodidae. The transcript has 3 exons.